GAUGAAGAACGUAGCGAAAUGCGAUACUUGGUGUGAAUUGCAGAAUCCCGUGAACCAUCGAGUCUUUGAACGCAAGUUGCGCCCGAAGCCAUCAGGUUGAGGGCACGUCUGCCUGGGCGUCACAUAUCGUUGCUCGAUGCCUAUCGCAUUGCGAUAGGACUUAGGGCGAAUGAUGGCUUCCCGUGAGCGUUGUUGCCUCGCGGUUGGUUGAAAAUCGAGUCCUUGGUAGGGUGUGCCAUGAUAGAUGGUGGUCGAGUGAUGAUGCUCGAGACCAAUCAUGGGUAACUCCACCAGAAUUGGGCUCGGUGACCCACAUGCGUCCCUUGGAUGCUCCCUAAGGAGACCUCAGGUCAGGCGGGGCUACCCGCUGAGUUUAAGCAUAUCAAUAAGCGGAGGA
Molecule: unclassified non-coding RNA, 397 nt
Filed under: soil metagenome
Description: partial contains 5.8S ribosomal RNA, internal transcribed spacer 2, and large subunit ribosomal RNA
Rfam family: 5.8S ribosomal RNA (bases 1-122)
Source: RNAcentral